This 253-nucleotide ribosomal RNA is filed under the name uncultured bacterium. Its description in RNAcentral is "partial 16S ribosomal RNA". It matches the Rfam family "Bacterial small subunit ribosomal RNA", at positions 524 to 776 of the family's 1533-position model. The record is from RNAcentral.
UACGGAGGGUGCAAGCGUUAUCCGGAUUCACUGGGUUUAAAGGGUGCGUAGGUGGGUCUGUAAGUCCGUGGUGAAAUCUCCGAGCUUAACUUGGAAACUGCCAUGGAUACUAUAGGUCUUGAAUAUUGUGGAGGUCAGCGGAAUAUGUCAUGUAGCGGUGAAAUGCUUAGAUAUGACAUAGAACACCAAUUGCGAAGGCAGCUGGCUACACAUAUAUUGACACUGAGGCACGAAAGCGUGGGGAUCAAACAGG